AUACGAAGGGGGCUAGCGUUGUUCGGAUUUACUGGGCGUAAAGCGCACGUAGGCGGAUUGAUAAGUUAGGGGUGAAAUCCCGAGGCUCAACCUCGGAACUGCCUCUAAAACUAUCAAUCUAGAGACCGGAAGAGGUGCGUGGAACUCCUAGUGUAGAGGUGGAAUUCGUAGAUAUGAGGAAGAACACCAGUGGCGAAGGCGGCUCACUGGUCCGGUACUGACGCUGAGGUGCGAAAGCGUGGGGAGCGAACAGGAUUAGAUACCCCAGUAGUCC
Molecule: ribosomal RNA, 274 nt
Filed under: uncultured bacterium
Lineage: Bacteria
Description: partial 16S ribosomal RNA
Rfam family: Bacterial small subunit ribosomal RNA
Source: RNAcentral